AUGUUGAGCCACCUUGCCUUCCUCCUGGUUCUCCUGUUUCCUGCUGGUGGGUCAGUCAUCAAGUUGGAGCAGCCGGCCUACAUCCUCGGGCAGAAGGGCAGCUCGGUUGCCCUGCAGUGCUUGGUCCACUUUCAGGUCAGCUAUAUUCACUGGUACCGGAAUCAAGAGGGCAAGGCCCCUGAGAGGCUCCUCCGACAGGCCAUGUUCAAAUCUGAUGUACAGUGGGACUCAGUUUUGAAAGUGGACAAAAUCACAGCCGUGGAGGCUGAAGAUGGCAAAAGCUGCACCCUGUGGGUGCUCAAACUGGAGAAGAGUGAUGAGGGCAUGUACUACUGUGCUGCCUGGGACCAGCACAGCCUGGCAU
Orycteropus afer afer is the source of this 364-nucleotide non-coding RNA. NCBI's taxonomy places the organism in Eukaryota, Metazoa, Chordata, Mammalia, Tubulidentata, Orycteropodidae. The record is from the annotation of a RefSeq genome assembly.